Molecule: ribosomal RNA, 484 nt
Filed under: uncultured bacterium
Lineage: Bacteria
Description: partial 16S ribosomal RNA
Rfam family: Bacterial small subunit ribosomal RNA
Source: RNAcentral
AUUGAACGCUGGCGGCAGGCCUAACACAUGCAAGUCGAGCGGAUGAAGGGAGCUUGCUCCUGGAUUCAGCGGCGGACGGGUGAGUAAUGCCUAGGAAUCUGCCUGGUAGUGGGGGAUAACGUCCGGAAACGGGCGCUAAUACCGCAUACGUCCUGAGGGAGAAAGUGGGGGAUCUUCGGACCUCACGCUAUCAGAUGAGCCUAGGUCGGAUUAGCUAGUUGGUGGGGUAAAGGCCUACCAAGGCGACGAUCCGUAACUGGUCUGAGAGGAUGAUCAGUCACACUGGAACUGAGACACGGUCCAGACUCCUACGGGAGGCAGCAGUGGGGAAUAUUGGACAAUGGGCGAAAGCCUGAUCCAGCCAUGCCGCGUGUGCGAAGAAGGUCUUCGGAUUGUAAAGCACUUUAAGUUGGGAGGAAGGGCAGUAAGUUAAUACCUUGCUGUUCUGACGUUACCAACAGAAUAAGCACCGGCUAACUUCGUG